AGCCACGUAGCCCAGUGGUAACGCUUCCGCCUCGUAAGCGGUAGAUCGGGGUUCAGGUGUCCGCGUGGUUU
This 71-nucleotide transfer RNA is filed under the name Culex quinquefasciatus (southern house mosquito). It matches the Rfam family "tRNA". From Rfam's summary of the family: Transfer RNA (tRNA) molecules are approximately 80 nucleotides in length. The record is from Rfam by way of RNAcentral. Lineage: Eukaryota; Metazoa; Arthropoda; Insecta; Diptera; Culicidae.